This 778-nucleotide ribosomal RNA is filed under the name uncultured Pseudomonadota bacterium. RNAcentral's name for it is "bacterial SSU rRNA". It matches the Rfam family "Bacterial small subunit ribosomal RNA", at positions 63 to 816 of the family's 1533-position model. Lineage: Bacteria; Pseudomonadati; Pseudomonadota. The record is from RNAcentral.
CGAACGCGAAAGGGUAGCAAUACCCGAGUAAAGUGGCGAACGGGUGAGUAACGCGUAGGAAACCUGCCUUCGAGUGGGGGAUAACAUUCCUAACGGGAUGCUAAUACCGCAUGAAACUGAGAGGUCGCAUGGCCUCACAGUCAAAGGUGGCCUCUAUUUAUAAGCUACCGCUCAAAGAUGGUCCUGCGUCCCAUUAGCUAGUUGGUGGGGUAACGGCUCACCAAGGCUCCGAUGGGUAGCCGAUCUGAGAGGAUGACCGGCCACACUGGGACUGAGAUACGGCCCAGACUCCUACGGGAGGCAGCAGUCGAGAGGCUUCGGCAAUGGGGGAAACCCUGACCGAGCGACGCCGCGUGGAGGAUGAAGGCCUUUGGGUUGUAAACUCCUGUCAUGAGGGAAGAAACGUCACCGUUCGAAUAGGGCGGUGAUUUGACGGUACCUCAAGAGGAAGCUCCGGCUAACUCCGUGCCAGCAGCCGCGGUAAUACGGGGGGAGCAAACGUUGUUCGGAAUCACUGGGCGUAAAGGGAACGUAGGCGGCCAUGUAAGUGAGGUGUUAAAUCCCCCGGCUCAACCGGGGACCUGCACCUCAUACUGCACGGCUUGAGUACAUCAGAGGAGACUGGAAUUCCCGGUGUAGCGGUGAAAUGCGUAGAUUUCGGGAGGAACACCAGUGGCGAAGGCGAGUCUCUGGGAUGAUACUGACGCUGAUGCUCGAAAGCUAGGGGGAGCAAACGGGAUUAGAUACCCCGGUAGUCCUAGCCGUAAACGGUGGGCAC